AGUGAACGCUGGCGGCGUGCUUAACACAUGCAAGUCGAACGAGAACGGAAUAUAGCUUGCUAUAUUUGUCAGCUAAGUGGCGCACGGGUGAGUAAUGUAUAGAUAACCUGCCCUUAAGAAAGGAAUAACAGUUGGAAACGACUGCUAAUGCCCUAUAUGCCUUUAAUACAUAAGUAUGCAAGGGAAACGCUUUAGUGCUUAAGGAUGGGUCUGUAUGGUAUCAGCUUGUUGGUGAGGUAAUGGCUCACCAAGGCUAUGACGCCUAACUGGUUUGGGAGGAUGAUCAGUCACACUGGAACUGGGACACGGUCCAUACUCCUACGGGAGGCAGCAGUGGGGAAUAUUGCACAAUGGACGAAAGUCUGAUGCAGCAACGCCGCGUGGAGGAUGACACAUUUCGGUGCGUAAACUCCUUUUAUAUAGGAAGAUAAUGACGGUACUAUAUGAAUAAGCACCGGCUAACUCCGUGCCAGCCGCCGCAGUAA
This 485-nucleotide ribosomal RNA is filed under the name uncultured bacterium. RNAcentral describes it as "partial 16S ribosomal RNA". It matches the Rfam family "Bacterial small subunit ribosomal RNA", at positions 29 to 523 of the family's 1533-position model. The record is from RNAcentral.